This 258-nucleotide long non-coding RNA is filed under the name Setaria italica (foxtail millet). RNAcentral's name for it is "long non-coding RNA (SITA_LNC000057)". Lineage: Eukaryota; Viridiplantae; Streptophyta; Magnoliopsida; Poales; Poaceae. The record is from RNAcentral.
UCAAGUUUCUAAUAAGGACGUAUCGCAGUAUAUAGUGACCUACUAUCUAUGUAGCCCCUUACACGAAAAUAGCCCACAUGGAUGAAACGACUCUUGAUGACAAGUGAGCCCCACUCCUCUUUAGCUCAUCCUCGCUCCCUCUUGUUGCUGUUCGUUGAGCUUGGGAUUUAGGGUUCGGGAGCUCCAACAAACCUAAAAUUGGCGGAGGCUGGACUGGCAGCAGCAGCGCGUCGAGGACAACAAGGUGAGGUGGUAGGG